AUGGAGACAGUGACUGCCUGGAGGAGGAACAGGUUGUCACGGCCUCAUUCCUGGUCACAUGUAGACAAGUUGAGGGUGGCAACAGGAUGUUGGAAGGCAGAGACCCACUUUUUCAUUGCGGAGGUGAAAUUCAGGCCCUGGAAAGUCGCUGAGGCAAUUACACAGGGGUCCCAACGCCAGGCUGUGAGGGGCCCCUGGUCACAUCCUGACUCUAAGCCUCCCAUUUGCUUUCCCACAGCCUCUCCACAUGACUGCUGCCCUCAGACACCAGAAGAGUACAUGGCGGAUAAUGAAGAUUCAGAGACAGUGAGCAAGAAUACUGAGGCUCUGAUCUGAAUCCCUGAAGACCUGGACCUGGACCCCAUCCUGGACCCCAGAGGCGGUGGAGCCCACACAGCACCAGGAGCCUCAUCUGGACCAGAUCAGGAGAGGCCUCACUGCUGCUCUCCUGAGGGCCUCGUGUAGUACAGCUUCAGUUGUUUUGUUGUGUAGACUUAGUAUUAGUUUAAUCCACAGUUUUAUCUAUAAUUUCUGUAUGUAUCUGUAUGUUCAAUGUUUAUAGGUAAGGUUUUUCAUUAAAUUUUUAAAACCUAUUUGUUAUUUUUACAAAAUGUUUGUUUGUAAAGCACACAUGUAUAGACUGGCACCCUCAGCAGAGGCAGAACUUAAUGAAUUGUUGUGAGCCAGCAACCCUGGCCUCUGCUACCAGGGUCACGCCCCCUUUCAUUCAACUCAGUCUCAUUGAGAAAGGAACUGCAGAUUUCAUCCUUCCAUCUGUCCAGGGUCACCAGCUUUCUCUGCUUCCUUUAAAUAGUUCCCCUGGCUUGAUUUACUGAAGUGCUUCUGGACUGCUCUUUUCAUUAUUCUGAACAAACUGUCAACAAGAUAGCUGUGCACAUUCCUGGCAGAGGUCUGACUCUCUGGAUUCUGAAAGCAUCAGAAUCUAAUUCAAGAUGCACACGUAGGGUCUCUGUACCAGGGAACCCAUUAAAAGUGUGUUUUGAAACAGAUAGAGCCACAGCGUCAGGCCCUGGCUGAGAUUCAAAGACUACCGGCCAGUCAUCUCCCCUGGGGCCUUGAGAGAACCCUGCUCGUCUGAUGUUGCAAAGGAGGCUGCAGAGACCCACGCUGAGCAGAGCCUGGGGCAGACUCAGGGCUCCUACAGCCUCAGUCAGGGGCCUUUCCGACUUGAUGUUGAUCCCAUGCAGCUGCUCACUACCCAUCCUUUACUUUGUACUUUUUAAAUUAAUUUUUGUUGCAAAAUAGUUACUUUAUAGAGCUGUGUUAGUUUCUACUGUACACAAGAAUGAAUCAGCCAUAUAUGUAUGUGUGGGUAUAUAUAUGUGUGUGUGUAUAUAUAUGUGUGUGUGUGUAUGUGUGUGUAUAUAUAUGUGUGUGUGUGUAUAUAUAUAUAUGUGUGUGUUAGCAAAUCUCAGUGAGUUUAGCUCAUAGUGUGACUGGGCAAGUGAAUCUCAUUAAUCUCUGUUCCUCACUAUUCAACCUAAUGCCAUAUAUGUGUGUGUGUGUGUGUGUGUGCGUGUGUAUAUAUAUAUCUGUGUGUAUAUAUAUAUAUGUCUGUGUGUGUAUAUAUAUAUGUGUGUAUAUAUAUAUAUGUGUGUGUGUGUAUAUAUAUCUGUGUAUAUAUAAAUGUGUGUAUAUGUGUGCGUGUGUGUAUAUAAAUGUGUGUGUGUAUAUAUGUGUGUGUAUAUGUGUGUGUAUAUAUCUGUGUGUGUAUAUAUAUAUGUACAUACAUGAUGUAUGUGUAUAUACACACACAGACACACACACACACACACACACACGUUCAUAGGACGCUGUAUUGAAAUAAACCCAGCUUUACUUAGUUUGCAAUGGAACAUUAUCUCAAAUUUGGCCACAAGAUGUUGAUAUCACAAAACAGGUUCAAAGAAAUAAACUUCUAUUGCAAAGUGCUUGUGUUUCUUUCCAACUUAGGUCUUUAAAUGUAACUAUUCUUGUCAAUCAGUGACUUCUCUUAAAUGAUGUUGUAUUUCUUGAUCUGUUCCACAUCUGUAUAUUUUGGGGGGUUUUGCCCCUCAUAUCUACUACCUCAGAGAAUAUCAAUUAAGUCUAUUGUAUUGAAACCCAUAUGCAAUAAUAGCAAAAUAAGAUUUCAAAACUAGGAAACAAUACACUGCUAUUUGUAUUCAUUAUUGUUGUUGACUUGUUUCUUGUUAUUUAAUAGCGAAGAGAUGUCCUGCUCCUGGAUCAGUGUCAAACAAUGACAAACAGAGCAAGCACUUGGGAACAUAAUAAACUCAGUAAGAAGCUGAAAGGAUAUUUUUGUUCAUUGGGUCAGGUCCUUCUCUUUGCUUACCAUCUGGAUCUCCAUGUGUUGAGAGGUUUGCCUAACCAGCUGAGGCAACAAACAAUGAAGGAACUUCUCCAAGAUACACAGAAAUUGAGAGAAAUUC
RNAcentral lists this long non-coding RNA (2432 nucleotides) under Capra hircus (goat). RNAcentral's name for it is "lncRNA (ENSCHIG00000000808.1)". Lineage: Eukaryota; Metazoa; Chordata; Mammalia; Artiodactyla; Bovidae. The record is from RNAcentral.